Molecule: ribosomal RNA, 1400 nt
Filed under: uncultured bacterium
Lineage: Bacteria
Description: bacterial SSU rRNA
Rfam family: Bacterial small subunit ribosomal RNA
Source: RNAcentral
AGAGUUUGAUCCUGGCUCAGGAUGAACGCUAGCGGCAGGCUUAACACAUGCAAGUCGAGGGGCAUCGGGAGGGAAGCUUGCUUUCCUUGCCGGCGACCGGCGCACGGGUGAGUAACACGUAUGCAACCUGCCCUCUUCAGGGGGACAACCUUCCGAAAGGGAGGCUAAUCCCGCGUAUAUCGGUUUCGGGCAUCCGAGAUCGAGGAAAGAUUCAUCGGAAGAGGAUGGGCAUGCGGCGCAUUAGCUAGACGGCGGGGUAACGGCCCACCGUGGCGACGAUGCGUAGGGGUUCUGAGAGGAAGGUCCCCCACACUGGUACUGAGACACGGACCAGACUCCUACGGGAGGCAGCAGUGAGGAAUAUUGGUCAAUGGGAGAGAUCCUGAACCAGCCAAGCCGCGUGAGGGAAGACGGCCCUAUGGGUUGUAAACCUCUUUUGUCGGAGAACAAAACCCGGGACGAGUCCCGGACUGCGUGUAUCCGAAGAAAAAGCAUCGGCUAACUCCGUGCCAGCAGCCGCGGUAAUACGGAGGAUGCGAGCGUUAUCCGGAUUUAUUGGGUUUAAAGGGUGCGUAGGCGGUCCGUUAAGUCAGCGGUAAAAUUGCGGGGCUCAACCCCGUCGAGCCGUUGAAACUGGCAGACUUGAGUUGGCGAGAAGUACGCGGAAUGCGCGGUGUAGCGGUGAAAUGCAUAGAUAUCGCGCAGAACUCCGAUUGCGAAGGCAGCGUACCGGCGCCACACUGACGCUGAGGCACGAAAGCGUGGGGAUCGAACAGGAUUAGAUACCCUGGUAGUCCACGCAGUAAACGAUGAAUGCUGGUUGUCCGGGUCGAAUGAGACCUGGGCGGCGAAGCGAAAGCGAUAAGCAUUCCACCUGGGGAGUACGCCGGCAACGGUGAAACUCAAAGGAAUUGACGGGGGCCCGCACAAGCGGAGGAACAUGUGGUUUAAUUUGAUGAUACGCGAGGAACCUUACCCGGGCUCAAACGGGAGUGGAAUGGACCAGAGACGGUUCAGCCUACGGGCCGCUUCCGAGGUGCUGCAUGGUUGUCGUCAGCUCGUGCCGUGAGGUGUCGGCUUAAGUGCCAUAACGAGCGCAACCCCCGCCGGCAGUUGCUAACGGGCAAUGCCGAGGACUCUGCCGGGACUGCCGCCGCAAGGCGUGAGGAAGGCGGGGAUGACGUCAAAUCAGCACGGCCCUUACGUCCGGGGCGACACACGUGUUACAAUGGGCGGUACAGCGGGAAGCCAGGCGGCGACGCCGAGCGGAACCCGAAAGCCGUUCUCAGUUCGGAUCGGAGUCUGCAACCCGACUCCGUGAAGCUGGAUUCGCUAGUAAUCGCGCAUCAGCCAUGGCGCGGUGAAUACGUUCCCGGGCCUUGCACACACCGCCCGUCAAG